This 490-nucleotide ribosomal RNA is filed under the name uncultured bacterium. Its description in RNAcentral is "partial 16S ribosomal RNA". It matches the Rfam family "Bacterial small subunit ribosomal RNA", at positions 29 to 523 of the family's 1533-position model. The record is from RNAcentral.
AAUGAACGUUGGCGGCGUGGAUUAGGCAUGCAAGUCGAGCGAGAAGAGUUUGGUAGCUUGCUAUUGAACUCGGAAAGCGGCGAAAGGGAGAGUAACGCGUAGUUAUGUACCCAGGGGUUCGGAAUAGCCACGGGAAACUGUGGGUAAUGCCGAAUAACAUCUCCGGAUCAAAGGUGUGAUUCCGCCCUUGGAGCAGACUGCGUCCUACUAGCUAGUUGGCGGGGUAAUGGCCCACCAAGGCGACUAUGGGUAGCGGGUGUGAGAGCAUGACCCGUCUCACUGGGACUGAGACACUGCCCAGACACCUACGGGUGGCUGCAGUCGAGAAUCUUCGGCAAUGGGCGAAAGCCUGACCGAGCGACGCCGCGUGCGGGAUGAAGGCCCUCGGGUUGUAAACCGCUGUCGUAGGGGAGGAAGGCUCCGUGAAGAACGGGGUUUGACCUAUCCUAGGAGGAAGUACGGGCUAAGUUCGUGCCAGCAGCCGCAGUAA